Molecule: ribosomal RNA, 313 nt
Filed under: uncultured eukaryote
Lineage: Eukaryota
Description: partial 18S ribosomal RNA
Rfam family: Eukaryotic small subunit ribosomal RNA
Source: RNAcentral
CCCUUAGAUGUUCUGGGCCGCACGCGCGCUACACUGAAUGGAUCAACGUGUUUUCCCUUCCCGAGAGGGACGGGUAACCCGCUGAACCCCAUUCGUGGUAGGGAUCGGAGCUUGCAAUUGUUCUCCGUGAACCAGGAAUUCCUAGUAAACGCAAGUCAUCAACUUGCAUUGAUUACGUCCCUGCCCUUUGUACACACCGCCCGUCGCACCUACCGAUUGAAUGGUCCGGUGAAGCCUCCGGAUUGGCGCGCACCUCGGUGCCGCCGAGAAGUUGGCUAAACCUUACCAUUUAGAGGAAGGUGAAGUCGUAACA